CUCAGGGAGGAGGGGUCCCUCAGCCCAGAUUGUGAGAGGGUGCAGGCCAGGCCGAGGGACCCCAUCGGUGCAGG
RNAcentral lists this microRNA precursor (74 nucleotides) under Myotis lucifugus (little brown bat). RNAcentral describes it as "mir-9193 microRNA precursor family". It matches the Rfam family "mir-9193 microRNA precursor family". The record is from Rfam by way of RNAcentral. Lineage: Eukaryota; Metazoa; Chordata; Mammalia; Chiroptera; Vespertilionidae.